GAUGAACGCUAGCGGCAGGCUUAAUACAUGCAAGUCGAGGGGGAUCAGUUGGGUAGCAAUACCUGGCUGUGAGACCGGCAAACGGGUGAGGAACACGUACGCAACUUUCCCAAAACUGGUGAAUAGCCCUCCGAAAGGAGGAUUAAUACACCGUAACAUAACGAAAUGGCAUCAUUUUGUUAUUAUAGCAGCAAUGCGGUUUUGGAUAGGCGUGCGCCUGAUUAGGUAGUUGGCGGGGUAACGGCCCACCAAGCCUACGAUCAGUAACUGGUGUGAGAGCACGACCAGUCACACGGGCACUGAGACACGGGCCCCGACUCCUACGGGAGGCAGCAGUAAGGAAUAUUGGUCAAUGGACGAAAGUCUGAACCAGCCAUGCCGCGUGAAGGAUGAAGGCCCUCUGGGUUGUAAACUUCUUUUAUAGGGGACGAAAAAAGGGAUUACUUUCCCACUUGACGGUACCCUAGGAAUAAGCACCGGCUAACUCCGUGCCAGCAGCCGCGGUAAUUGA
Molecule: ribosomal RNA, 511 nt
Filed under: uncultured bacterium
Lineage: Bacteria
Description: bacterial SSU rRNA
Rfam family: Bacterial small subunit ribosomal RNA
Source: RNAcentral